GAUGAACGCUGGCGGCGUGCCUAAUACAUGCAAGUCGAGCGAACAGACGAGGAGCUUGCUCCUCUGACGUUAGCGGCGGACGGGUGAGUAACACGUGGAUAACCUACCUAUAAGACUGGGAUAACUUCGGGAAACCGGAGCUAAUACCGGAUAAUAUCUUGAACCGCAUGGUUCAAUAGUGAAAGACGGUUUUGCUGUCACUUAUAGAUGGAUCCGCGCCGCAUUAGCUAGUUGGUAAGGUAACGGCUUACCAAGGCGACGAUGCGUAGCCGACCUGAGAGGGUGAUCGGCCACACUGGAACUGAGACACGGUCCAGACUCCUACGGGAGGCAGCAGUAGGGAAUCUUCCGCAAUGGGCGAAAGCCUGACGGAGCAACGCCGCGUGAGUGAUGAAGGUCUUCGGAUCGUAAAACUCUGUUAUUAGGGAAGAACAAAUGUGUAAGUAACUAUGCACGUCUUGACGGUACCUAAUCAGAAAGCAACGGCUAACUACGUG
RNAcentral lists this ribosomal RNA (497 nucleotides) under uncultured bacterium. RNAcentral's name for it is "partial 16S ribosomal RNA". It matches the Rfam family "Bacterial small subunit ribosomal RNA", at positions 28 to 507 of the family's 1533-position model. The record is from RNAcentral.